This is a non-coding RNA of Plectropomus leopardus (leopard coralgrouper), 889 nucleotides long. The record is from RefSeq and is a predicted model, not a curated record. Lineage: Eukaryota; Metazoa; Chordata; Actinopteri; Perciformes; Serranidae.
CCAUCAGUUCCACUUCUGAUCUCUUGUCUUUUAAUUUCAGGUCCUCCAUUUCCACGGAGUUGAGCUGUGUCCUAGCUUGUUAGACUGCUGUGGUCAUGUCAUUGGAAAUAUGGAGGAUGUGCAGGGCGUAGCAGGAGGAUGGCUUACCACUCUAUCCUCUGCAGGCUUUCCACUGACACCCAGGUCCAGAUCUUCAGUAUACUUCGUUUGGAGUCCUGUUUCUGUCCAUCUGAUGAAUCUGUCAGCAGGACUUGUUACUUCACACAUCAACACUACAAUGACCUGGAGAGCCAGCGUGUACGACCAGUGUGUCACAGCCAUACCGGAAACCCAUUUUAUGCUGCCCUCUCUUGGUGUCCUCCCAGCGGCACAUUUCUUCCGUAUUUCUCCCGAUGUUGACAAAAUGGUCCAAAAAGUCAAAAUGUUAAGCAUUUUAAAGUCAUUGUAUAGUAUGUUGAAAAACGGCAUACUAUAGCAUGUCAGAAAAUGGUUGAAAAAGUCAUCAAUCCAAAUGUCUAAAAGAGUUAGUAUUGCAAGUUUACCCCCACGGCGAACCCCGAGAAUGUCACCAAGCCAAGAAGAGAAGCAUCUGCUAUUCUUCUGGCUCUUGCUCCCAAACCUCCUCCGAGGAAGGUUGCAGGUCUGGAGGACCUGCUCCCCCUUUCCCCACUCUCACACCUAAGCUUGGCAGGAGCUGCAGACUUGUUUCAGCUCUACUCUUCAAGCCCAAAGCGUCUUUGCAGAAGUUAGAAAGUCACAGCUAACUUCUCAAACCACAAGGAGAACAGAACUGAGAUAGCAUUGAACUGCUAUCUCUGUAAGGACACCAGGACCGGCCAGCCUCCUCCUGGAUCCUGGGAACUGCACAGCAGUGACUGAACCUGAACCU